RNAcentral lists this ribosomal RNA (253 nucleotides) under uncultured bacterium. RNAcentral describes it as "partial 16S ribosomal RNA". It matches the Rfam family "Bacterial small subunit ribosomal RNA", at positions 524 to 776 of the family's 1533-position model. The record is from RNAcentral.
UACGUAGGUGGCGAGCGUUGUCCGGAUUUACUGGGCGUAAAGGGAGCGUAGGCGGACUUUUAAGUGAGAUGUGAAAUACUCGGGCUCAACUUGAGUGCUGCAUUUCAAACUGGAAGUCUAGAGUGCAGGAGAGGAGAAUGGAAUUCCUAGUGUAGCGGUGAAAUGCGUAGAGAUUAGGAAGAACACCAGUGGCGAAGGCGAUUCUCUGGACUGUAACUGACGCUGAGGUUCGAAAGCGUGGGUAGCAAACAGG